CGGAGGAAAAGAAACUAACAAGGAUUCCCCUAGUAACGGCGAGUGAAGCGGGAAGAGCUCAAAUUUGUAAUCUGGCACCUUCGGUGUCCGAGUUGUAAUCUCGAGAAGUGUUUUCCGCGCCGGACCGCAUACAAGUCUGUUGGAAUACAGCGUCAUAGUGGUGAGAACCCCGUAACUGAUGCGGAUGCCCGGUGCUUUGUGAUACACUUUCGAAGAGUCGAGUUGUUUGGGAAUGCAGCUCAAAUUGGGUGGUAAAUUCCAUCUAAAGCUAAAUAUUGGCGAGAGACCGAUAGCGAACAAGUACCGUGAGGGAAAGAUGAAAAGCACUUUGGAAAGAGAGUUAACAGUACGUGAAAUUGUUGGAAGGGAAACGCUUGAAGUCAGACUUGCUAUUUGGAAUUCAGCCGCAAGGUGUACUUUUCAAUUCGCAGGCCAGCAUCAGUUUUCGGGGGUGGAAAAGGGUAGAGAGAAGGUAGCAAUUUCGGUUGUGUUAUAGCUCUUUGCUGGAUUCAUCCUUGGGGACUGAGGAACGCAGCACGCUUUUUGCAAGG
This 551-nucleotide ribosomal RNA is filed under the name Phenoliferia psychrophenolica. Its description in RNAcentral is "partial large subunit ribosomal RNA". It matches the Rfam family "Eukaryotic large subunit ribosomal RNA", at positions 51 to 616 of the family's 3401-position model. The record is from RNAcentral. Lineage: Eukaryota; Fungi; Basidiomycota; Microbotryomycetes; Kriegeriales; Kriegeriaceae.